This 253-nucleotide ribosomal RNA is filed under the name uncultured bacterium. RNAcentral describes it as "partial 16S ribosomal RNA". It matches the Rfam family "Bacterial small subunit ribosomal RNA", at positions 524 to 776 of the family's 1533-position model. The record is from RNAcentral.
GACGAACCGUGCGAACGUUGUUCGGAAUUACUGGGCUUAAAGGGUGCGUAGGCGGCGUGGAAAGUUGGGUGUGAAAUCCCUCAGCUUAACUGAGGAACAGCGCCCAAAACUACCAUGCUCGAGGGAGAUAGAGGAAUGCGGAACUUAGGGUGGAGCGGUGAAAUGCGUUGAUAUCCUAGGGAACACCGGUGGCGAAAGCGGCAUUCUGGAUCUCUUCUGACGCUGAGGCACGAAAGCCAGGGUAGCAAACGGG